This 447-nucleotide ribosomal RNA is filed under the name uncultured bacterium. Its description in RNAcentral is "partial 16S ribosomal RNA". It matches the Rfam family "Bacterial small subunit ribosomal RNA", at positions 330 to 793 of the family's 1533-position model. The record is from RNAcentral.
CCCAGACUCCUACGGGAGGCAGCAGUGGGGGAUAUUGCACAAUGGGGGGAACCCUGAUGCAGCGACGCCGCGUGGGUGAAGGAGCGUUUCGGCGCGUAAAGCCCUAUCGGCAGGGAAGAAGGAGGACGGUACCUGACUAAGAAGCCCCGGCUAACUACGUGCCAGCAGCCGCGGUAAUACGUAGGGGGCAAGCGUUAUCCGGAUUUACUGGGUGUAAAGGGGGCGCAGACGGCAGCGCAAGCCAGGAGUGAAAGCCCGGGGCCCAACCCCGGGACUGCUCUUGGAACUGCGCGGCUGGAGUGCAGGAGGGGCAGGCGGAAUUCCUGGUGUAGCGGUGAAAUGCGUAGAUAUCAGGAGGAACAUCGGUGGCGAAGGCGGCCUGCUGGACUGCGACUGACGUUGAGGCCCGAAAGCGUGGGGAGCAAACAGGAUUAGAUACCCGCGUAA